RNAcentral lists this ribosomal RNA (253 nucleotides) under uncultured bacterium. RNAcentral's name for it is "partial 16S ribosomal RNA". It matches the Rfam family "Bacterial small subunit ribosomal RNA", at positions 524 to 776 of the family's 1533-position model. The record is from RNAcentral.
UACGGAGGGGGCUAGCGUUGUUCGGAAUUACUGGGCGUAAAGUGCACGUAGGCGGGUUGUUAAGUCAGGGGUGAAAUCCUGGAGCUCAACUCCAGAACUGCCUUUGAUACUGGCAACCUAGAGACUGGAAGAGGUUAGUGGAAUUCCCAGUGUAGAGGUGAAAUUCGUAGAUAUUGGGAAGAACACCAGUGGCGAAGGCGGCUAACUGGUCCAGUACUGACGCUGAGGUGCGAAAGCGUGGGGAGCAAACAGG